This 137-nucleotide small nuclear RNA is filed under the name Haemonchus placei. RNAcentral's name for it is "U4 spliceosomal RNA". It matches the Rfam family "U4 spliceosomal RNA". From Rfam's summary of the family: U4 small nuclear RNA (U4 snRNA) is a component of the major U2-dependent spliceosome. The structure of U4 snRNA from yeast and human has been reported. The record is from Rfam by way of RNAcentral. Lineage: Eukaryota; Metazoa; Nematoda; Chromadorea; Rhabditida; Trichostrongylidae.
AGCUUCGCGCAUGGCGAUAACGUUACCAAUGAGGCUCUGCCGAAAUGUGUUUAAUACUGGUUGAAACUUUUCCCAAUUGCCUGCAAUGGUCCCUGAAAGAUGGGUUCCAUACGCAAUUUUCGAAGGCCCUAAGGAGC